GCCGUCCCGCAAGUGCCUCCUGGCGGCGCGCGCCCGCCGGCCUCAACCUGUCAGCGGGCAUGCGCUCGGGGCCGCGCACGGGAACGACCCUCGUCCACUAGGAGCUGGAAGGGAGUGAAGAAGGCGGAGGUUUGCUGAAUCUCUCCUCGCCCUCGCGAGUGAAAAUCUCUGCGCCUCAGAGCCGUGAUGAGCUCGGGAUAAGCACAGGCGGCAAAGCCAGACCUGCAGGCCGCGGUGGAACCCUCACAGAGUAGCAAACACGAACGAAUGAGAUAUGGGAGAAGAUGUUCAUGGAAGAAAUGACAGAAAAGCUUAGUAAUGAAUAAUGUUUUAUUAUUCUGUUUGAUUUGAAUUUUCAAAACAUCGGCCUAACACAAUCAAAUAUUAACUCAUCAUCAAGUAAGAAUCCCCCUGAUGUUUGGAUCCCAGACCAAGUGUGGACUCCUUCCUACUGUUUUAUUUGCUGGAGUCAAGAAUCACGUGUCAACACAGGGCUUCUAGUGAAUUUAGUCUUGUAUCCUAUUGAAGAUCCUGGAAGAGGUCUGAUCCUACGAUUCUACAGAAUUAUAAAAUGGACCAAAUGGAAGUGAGAACAGGUACAGGGUGGCACAAAUGAAGGAAUGUUGGAUUCCAGGCCAAGAUUCUUGGGUCACAGCUACCUGAAUAUUUUAAGUUAUAGAAACUAAGGUAGUUGCUUGAUUUCUUUGGACUUUAGAUAUGUUACCUGUAAAAUAAUGAGUCAUUUAAAGAUAUUUGCUAAGUAUCUUCUAAUUGUUUUGAUGUGAUGUAAGGUAGGGGGAGCUUUGAGAUUAAAUUUAAAUUGGCUUUUGGAAAAAUGUUAGAAAUAAUGAAAACAAAAUUUUCAAAUAAAACCAUAAGACUGUAUAAUUUAAAGACAUUGAAGAGAGGAACGUUACGUCCUCAUUUUAGCUGUGCUCUGGUUAUCCAGUGAUUGUAUGAAUGAGAGGGCACCAGAGUGCCCGGAAAUGACAAACUGGCAAAAAAGAAACAGAUGAGAACUUGCUGAAACUUCACCUGCAGCAUGUUUUGAACACUCUUUCUUUCUUUCUGUUUUUUUUUGUUCUGAGAGUUACCACUCAUCACAAAAGAGAAAAAGACUGAAGAGCUCUGAAAUUUACCCGCAGUCUGCAGGAGGAGAUGGGGAAUAUUCAUAUUUCCAUGAUUUUGUAACUCUUUCCCUAAAUUACCACCCCAUACAACCUUUUUUUCCAUCCUUAUCUCUGUGAUCCAAAUACAAUGCUGUGAUCAGGGUGUAGCUUUUAUUAGUAUUAUCUGAAAAUAGGAACAAGACAUUGCAUACAUUUAUUCUGAAAUGAUAUUAAUUUUAAAAAUUAUCUUCAAAUAAAUAAAAUUGUUUU
Molecule: non-coding RNA, 1379 nt
Organism: Heterocephalus glaber (naked mole-rat)
Lineage: Eukaryota; Metazoa; Chordata; Mammalia; Rodentia; Bathyergidae
Source: RefSeq, a predicted model, not a curated record